Molecule: long non-coding RNA, 929 nt
Filed under: Homo sapiens (human)
Lineage: Eukaryota; Metazoa; Chordata; Mammalia; Primates; Hominidae
Description: HSALNT0058393
Source: RNAcentral
UUUGCAUCUUGUAUGUGGUUGGGAAUACAUUCUCAAAUCUAUUUGUGGGCCCAAUAAGCCAUGUGACCAUGGCAAGUUUCCUCAUGGCUCUGUAUGUCAAUGUACUCAUCUGUGAGCUAGAGGCAGGGGUACCAGAUGGUCUUUCAACUCCCUUUGACUCUACACAUACAUUUCCAUCUACAAACUAAGUCUGAAUUCCUUUAGAAAAGGUGUCAAGAGAUUUGUGCCUGGCCAAGACCUUGGAGGAUGAUGGUGUUGCACUUCGUCUAGUUAUUCAGGCCUGCCAGACCAACUCCAGUUCCACUCACAGUGCUCCACAUGCAUCGCUGCAGCCCUGGGCACUCUCCUGCCAAUCCCGAUGCAACUCUGGCAAGUCCAAAUCACUGCUCAACUCAGAGAAGGAGAAGCUGCAAGAAAGCUCUGCUUUCCCCUGCAUCUUGGGGCAGCCCUGUUUGCCUCACAGACAGAGAAGAACCGAGCCCUAUAUGAUAUUUUCACCUAAUACGAAGCUGAACUUUGGUAACAGUAUUAAGCUUUACAAUGUUCCUUAUGGUCUCCACAUUUUGUUUCACUCUUUUGAAAUCUGUGAUCUCCACUAGAGAUCUCUAAAUAUAAUAUUCAGAAUUUGGAAUAUCAGCAAUUGGAGGUCACACUAGCAUUGUGAUUGAAUUGGGGCUGGGUGGCAGAGAGAGAGUUCAGUUGUACUUGGGCAGGCUCUUUGCUUGUCUAUAGGGCUUUAAAGUUUCCCAGGACUAAACCAUUUGAUUAGCAUAUGAUUUUUCCGUAAACAUUGUCCACAGAUUAUGAUCAAAAGUAGUGUGCACUUAAACAAAGACCUGUUAGAAUGAACACAUUUUCUUUCUUUCCUUUGCUGAGUCUUUCCUUAGGCUCACAAUCCUAAGUCUUGGGGGAUGUUUGACGAUGUCAAC